This 79-nucleotide small RNA is filed under the name Arabidopsis thaliana (thale cress). Its description in RNAcentral is "ATSL087190". It matches the Rfam family "Plant small nucleolar RNA R71", at positions 29 to 107 of the family's 107-position model. From Rfam's summary of the family: R71 is a member of the C/D box family of snoRNAs containing the C (UGAUGA) and D (CUGA) box motifs. The record is from RNAcentral. Lineage: Eukaryota; Viridiplantae; Streptophyta; Magnoliopsida; Brassicales; Brassicaceae.
AACCCAUGAAACGCUCCAAUGCUUCACAGAAGCUUUCACCAGUCUUCUGUGAAAAACCAGAGAUCUCAUUUUUGAGUCU